CCUACGGGUGACAGCAGUGGGGAAUAUUGCACAAUGGGGGAAACCCUGAUGCAGCGACGCCGCGUGAAGGAAGAAGUCUUUCGGUAUGUAAACUUCUAUCAGCAGGGAAGAAAAUGACGUUACCUGACUAAGCAGCCACGGCUAACUACGUGCCAGCAGCCGCGGUCAUCCGUCGGGGGCAAGCGUUAUCCGGAUUUACUGGGUGUAAAGGGAGCGUAGGCGGUUUAGCAAGUCAGAAGUGAAAGCCCGGGGCUCAACUCCGGGACUGCUUUUGAAACUGGUGAACUAGAGUGCAGGAGAGGUAAGUGGAAUGCCUGGUGUAGCGGUGAAAUGCGUAGAUAUUAGGAGGAACACCAGUGGCGAAGGCGGCUUACUGGACUGUAAAUGACGCUGAGGCACGAAAGCGUGGGGAGCAAACAGGAUUAGAUACCCUAGUAGUC
RNAcentral lists this ribosomal RNA (440 nucleotides) under uncultured bacterium. RNAcentral describes it as "partial 16S ribosomal RNA". It matches the Rfam family "Bacterial small subunit ribosomal RNA", at positions 338 to 795 of the family's 1533-position model. The record is from RNAcentral.